Molecule: small nucleolar RNA, 97 nt
Filed under: Oryza sativa Indica Group (long-grained rice)
Lineage: Eukaryota; Viridiplantae; Streptophyta; Magnoliopsida; Poales; Poaceae
Also listed under: 1 other name
Description: Small nucleolar RNA Z256
Source: RNAcentral
ACCAGCUGUUAAUGGUGUACUUCAGGAGUCCUAUCAGCCAUGCUCGGGUUGCUAUAGUCAACAUGACCGGCAAAUAGUUUGCCAUGACCAGCUAGUC